Long non-coding RNA from Drosophila miranda, 447 nucleotides. RefSeq lists it as uncharacterized. NCBI's taxonomy places the organism in Eukaryota, Metazoa, Arthropoda, Insecta, Diptera, Drosophilidae. The transcript has 3 exons. The record is from RefSeq and is a predicted model, not a curated record.
AGGCCUCCUUUUCCGCCCCUUUGGCAAAAAUUGAUGAUGUUCAUGGCGAGGCAGCUGCUGUGGGGGCAGCUCUGUCUGGUGAUUGGCAGUGGCUGGCCUCUGGACUUCUGUUGGAAUUGACGGUAGUGCUUCUGAUGAGGUCUCCAAAUUUCGCCCAUUAUGCCUCAAGAGAGUUGCAGGAGUGGCGAGGCAGCUGCUGGAGGGGCAGCUCUGUCAGUUUAAUAGCAGGUUUUAUUGCCAUUAAACUUCUGCUAUUUGGCGCAAUCAGUAGACGCCGUAUAAUCCGUCGCUUUCAAAGUCGCCACUGGAUUGUCCAUUUAGGAACCUACGUAGGUCAUCGUAAGGCUCUUCGUCGGUCCAUUGGCUGUCGUCGUCCAUGUCCAUAUCCGGCUCACUGUCCGAUAUGGCUACUGCUGCUGCUGUAUUGGCGGCUGGUUGUGGUGGCGG